GCCGAAGUGGCGGAAUGGCAGACGCGCGGGAUUCAAAAUCCCGUAUCCUUUACUGGGUGUGUGGGUUCGACUCCCACCUUCGGCA
Molecule: transfer RNA, 85 nt
Filed under: Planctomycetaceae bacterium
Lineage: Bacteria; Pseudomonadati; Planctomycetota; Planctomycetia; Planctomycetales; Planctomycetaceae
Also listed under: 1 other name
Description: tRNA-Leu
Rfam family: tRNA
About the family: Transfer RNA (tRNA) molecules are approximately 80 nucleotides in length. Their secondary structure includes four short double-helical elements and three loops (D, anti-codon, and T loops).
Source: RNAcentral